UACGUAGGGGGCAAGCGUUGUCCGGAUUUAUUGGGCGUAAAGAGCGUGUAGGCGGUUUGUCGCGUCUGCUGUGAAAACCCGAGGCUCAACCUCGGGCCUGCAGUGGGUACGGGCAGACUAGAGUGCGGUAGGGGAGAUUGGAAUUCCUGGUGUAGCGGUGGAAUGCGCAGAUAUCAGGAGGAACACCAAUGGCGAAGGCAGAUCUCUGGGCCGUAACUGACGCUGAGGAGCGAAAGCAUGGGGAGCGAACAGG
This 253-nucleotide ribosomal RNA is filed under the name uncultured bacterium. RNAcentral's name for it is "partial 16S ribosomal RNA". It matches the Rfam family "Bacterial small subunit ribosomal RNA", at positions 524 to 776 of the family's 1533-position model. The record is from RNAcentral.